RNAcentral lists this ribosomal RNA (639 nucleotides) under uncultured fungus. RNAcentral's name for it is "eukaryotic LSU rRNA". The stretch from base 210 to 363 matches the Rfam family "5.8S ribosomal RNA". Lineage: Eukaryota; Fungi. The record is from RNAcentral.
CCGUAGGUGACCUGCGGAAGGAUCAUUAGUGAAUAAUAGGACGUCUUCUCUUUGGAGGAGAGUCCGACCUCUCACUUUCUAACACUGUGCACUUAGAUAUUUGGGAAUCAAGCUUGGAAUAGAAUUUUUUGUUCUAUUUCUAUAGCUCCCAAUUACUUUUUAUAACUCUACAAGUUAAAGAAUGUAAUGAUAAACCAUAACAAAAGAAAAACUUUCAACAACGGAUCUCUUGGCUCUCGCAUCGAUGAAGAACGCAGCGAAAUGUGAUAAGUAAUGUGAAUUGCAGAAUUCAGUGAAUCAUCGAAUCUUUGAACGCACCUUGCGCUCCUUGGUAUUCCGAGGAGCAUGUCUGUUUGAGUGUCAUGAACUCUUCAACCCUCCAUUUCCUUGUUUGAAAUGUUUUGAGGUGAUUGGAUUUUGAGUACUUGCUCUUUUGUCAAAAUUAGCUUACUCGUAAUACAUUAGCACAAUUCAACUUCGAACUCGGAUUGACUCGGCGUAAUAGACUAUUCGCUGAGGACAUUGAGAAUUAAAUUUCUCUAAUGGCCGACUUUAGACGAUUUGAAUAGCUUCAAAUACUAUAAACCUUUUUUAAGAUUAGACCUCAAAUCAGGCAGGAUUACCCGCUGAACUUAAGCU